UUCCGGUUGAUCCUGCCGGACCUGACUGCUAUCGGAUUGGUACUAAGCCAUGUGAGUCGUUGUAGCAAUACAAGGCAUACGGCUCAGUAACACGUAGUCAAUCUAACCUAUGGACGGGGAUAACCUCGGGAAACUGAGGAUAAAACCCGAUAGAUCAUUAUACCUGGAACGGUUUAUGGUCCAAAUGAUUCGUCGCCGUAGGGUGGGACUGCGGCCUAUCAGCUUGUUGGUGAGGUAAUGGCCCACCAAGGCUAUUACAGGUACGGGCUCUGAGAGGAGAAGCCCGGAGAUGGGUACUGAGACACGGACCCAGGCCCUAUGGGGCGCAGCAGGCGAGAAACCUUUGCAAUGUGCGCAAGCACGACAAGGUUAAUCCGAGUGUUUCCUGCUAAAGGAAUCUUUUGUUAGUUCUAAAACCACUGAUGAAUAAGGGGUGGGCAAGUUCUGGUGUCAGCCGCCGCGGUAAAACCAGCACCUCAAGUGGUCAGGAUGAUUAUUGGGCCUAAAGCAUCCGUAGCCUGUUCUGUCAGUUUCCGGUUAAAUCCAUUAGCUCAACUAAUGGGCCGCCGAAAAUACUGCAGAACUAGGGAGUGGGAGAGGUAGACGGUACUCGGUAGGAAGGGGUAAAAUCCUUUGAUCUAUUGAUGACCACCUGUGGCGAAGGCGGUCUACCAGAACACGUUCGACGGUGAGGGAUGAAAGCUGGGGGAGCAAACCGGAUUAGAUACCCGGGUAGUCCCAGCUGUAAACGAUGCAGACUCGG
Molecule: ribosomal RNA, 763 nt
Filed under: uncultured archaeon
Lineage: Archaea
Description: bacterial SSU rRNA
Rfam family: Archaeal small subunit ribosomal RNA
Source: RNAcentral